GCAUGCCCUCGAGCGAGAACGACUCGCACGCUAGACUCCCUGCCCUCGUUCGUCGCCGCCUUCAUCCCUUCGCCUCCGCCGCCCUUCAUCCCUUCGCCGCCGCACUCGGUCUCACAUCAAAGGCGCCCCACUCGCGGGAGAGGAUGAGCUGAUCUCCAUGGCCAGAUGAGGGAGGAAUACGGGUGACGGGAUGGAUUUGGAUCUCAAGGCGGGGAGGCCAACGUAGCCGCCCCUAGCGCGUCGAGCGAAAGCGAGGGAUUUGGAUCUCAUGGAUUUGGCUGCGUCGACCAGCAGAGGACCGCCGCCGGCUUGGCUCCUCCACCACAAAGCAACCUCCUUCCACCCCGUAGCCGCCGCCCAAAACCCUAGCAAUCGAGCCCCACCCAUGGCGCCCUAGGUGGUACAGCGGCCAGAGGAGAGGAGAGGAGGUGGAGCAGCCAUCGCCUGGACGUGAGGUGAGCUUCCCCCAUCCAAUCUUAUCUACCCCCACCACCAGGUGGCUCACAAUAUCUAUCACCUGCAGCAGCAUCUUGUGCAUGCAUCCAUUGAGGACGUGAGGUGCACACCACAUUUUGGUUCAGUUUUUCCCUUCUUUAUUAUAAUUAUGCCAAGGACAUCUUAUGCCUUACAGUAGUAUUCAGAUUCUCAAGUUUGUUUAUUUAUUUUUAGUGCAAUACUGCUCUCCUGUCUGCAGGAGAUUGGAGGAGAAAAUAUCAGAAAUCGGAAACAUGACGUUUUGGAUCAGUUCUGGAUCAUUUUCUUUUUUGGUUCAGUUUAUAUAAGUGGUUGUUGUUUUAUGUUGCUGCUAGCCAUCAGAAAACGAGUUCACACGGUGAAUGGGCAGCGCGGGCGUCGAGCAGGAUCAUGGGGGAGCAGGGGAGGCCAGAGGCUGCUCACCAUAUACAUCGCCAUCCAUAGCCGCCCUCGUCCGCCAAGAAGCUGAGGAGGGAGGCUGACCUCCAGUGACCACUCUGCACCGCUCUGGACGACACCCUCCCCCACCAGGUUCAUCCUCCUAAUUCGUUUUAAUCAUCCCAAUUUUUUUGUCUUACCACAGUUAAGAAAUACGAUUCAUGUUUGCUAUUGCAUUUGGAGCUCCAUCCUUACAACUUAUGGAUAAUAUGAAUACAUCAAGGUGUUUUGGUUCUCCCCAUUCUGUAUGUUCGCAAUGGAGUGUAUAUAUUGUUGAUUUAUGUCAUGGUGAUUGAAUUUGAUUGCAGAGAGAAAGUGCAAAAGCUAUGGGCAAUCCUAUAUGACUGGCGCCAUCAGUAAGGAUUUAUUUAAAGCUAGCUUACUGUUGGGUCUAAGCCAAGUUUAUUUCUUUCGCAGAUUUAUUCACCUUAUUGGCACGGUGGGGUUAAUAUAUAUACAUCAAUUUUGAGCAUCAGCAACGCAUGAAGCUUGCUUCUGAGGCUACAACAUACUUUGCAAUCCCCCUGUGAAACAUACUUUUGUCACUAUGCACAUAUGGUUAUUCGAACGAAUUGAUUUCGAUUAGACUAUCUUUUUCCUAAUUACUUGUUAUAUGAUGUUCUUUACUAUUCAGAGGUUGUUGAAGGGAGAUGGGGCUCUUCUGGCCCCUUUGGUGCAAAAGCACAAGCAACAGCAUCUACAGCUGACCACUCAUAGCCUAGGAUGUCUUGCAGAUUUGAUCUAUUUUGGAUAGAGUACAUGGAAUCAAACCACAAGUAAUCAAUUUGCUAUAUUCACGUGAUUAGCUAUAAGGAAUUUAUUACCUCUGUUUUAUUUGCAGGAUACCCAAGCAGUGCGUACAAAUUGUAGUGGUGCUUGUAGCUUAUCAUCAAUCUGCCAUUAUUAUUUGUAUGUAUGUGUUCAAAACGACCACCUAGAGAUUCUUGAUUUGCUCCUGGCUGCACCGUUGGGUUUCUCGCGGCUUUGUUUCGUUUGAGUUCUAUUGUUCAAAACUGAAUUUGUUGAUGCUUAGAGUUUGGACUGGUCCGUUUGAUACGUCUGCACUCGUGAUGCGGAACAUUUUCCAACAUAGUGUGGGUUCAGAAGUGAGGAAAACAAUUGGCUUGCAGGGUUCAGGCUACUUUCUUGUGCUUGUUUUGCCUUGUGAUUACUUGAAACUGCAACCUGCAGGUUGAAUGGGCGCUUUAUAUUUUAGGGCGGAAGACUGAAGCAAAGAAAACUGCGGCUCUUUAGUAUAUCUUCAGAUUUGCGGCUCUUUGAGCUGUGGUACAUUUGAUUCGAGACCCGGAUGAGGUUGGUUUUACGUUUCUUAUUGGAAGAGUGAGAUGCCCAGGACAGAAUCCAGUUUGUAUCAACGCCUCAUUGAAUAGAAUCAUGUAGAUUCUGCUUCAUACAAGCUUCAUAAAGAAAUAGUUUUAAGGGAGGACUUCAAAGAGUAUUUUGCCAAAUUUGGUAAAGUGCGGGGAUGGAGGGCAGUCAGCAUCCACCUCGAGGCAGAGGGGUGGGCAGAAGGACGGUCGGUGUUCAACUCUCUACGGUUCAAAACCAAGUCCAUCCAAGCCUCAAAGUAUAAAGAAGGCGCCUAGACACUCGAUGGGUGGUGUAAACCGUAGGGUGUCCAUUGGUGGAGCCACGAUGCAAGCAUCCAAAACAGACAUAUUGUAUACGAAGAAUGUUCAUGCUGCCAAGAGAAGUGAAGACAUUGCCCAUUUGUCCCCUGGGUGGGCGUGUAACUAGAGAACAAAACACUAUGGCGGCAAAUGAGACUAUCGAACCGAACUGAUUGUACUGAAAACUAGGACCUAAACUUGUGCUGCUGGCCAACCUUUUCUUCAGGGAAUGCCAAGAUAUUCGCCAAACAAAGCCAUAGGAUGGUGCUAUACACAGAGGACAACCUAUCAGGUGAGAAUCGAUUCGUGGCUCUUUCUCUUUUUUGAACUGGUCGUUAUGUGGUUCUUGGGGACUCGCACUCUGUUUUGUUUCUUUUUUUACCUCCUAUUUAUGGGCUCCCUUCUGUUAGGGAGUCCACUAAUGACCAGAUGGGUAUCUUGUCGCUCAUCUACAGCAAGUCGGGCUCCAGUGUGUUUGGGUCAGCGUCCACGGAGGAGCAGAUAACUGACGGCAUUUACGCUGCCGGGCUCACUAUCCUCAUCACACGUGACCACAACCCACCCAACCGACUGUUACAAUGGUCGUGGAGCUUCUUGGAUUAAACUUGCAAAGAGUAGUACUGGAAAGCUUCAUUUUCGUAAGAUGCUCUGGUAUCUCCGAGUAGAAGAAAGCAAAGCCAACAAGGGCAAUACAAAAGGUAGGAAGACCAUACGAAGACCAAUACAAAAAGGAGGAUGCAUGAGCUUCAGAUCUGAUUGAAUUUAGUCAGAAGAUGGAGACUUAGAGGAGGAAUUAGUGGAGAAUGGGAAGGUGGAUAGAACAUGGGAACAAAUCAAAUACGUGUAGUAUUCCUAUGAGGGGAGUGAGUGGAGACAGAAAUGAGUGCACGUGGAGCAGCUACUGCCUAUGAGGCGAGUGAGUGGAGACGGCCAAAUCUAUGCGGCGGAGGGGCUAUAGAAGCUUGAACGAAAGAUUCGUCGCCAGCAUCGGAGCAAUUUAUUGGGCAAAUCGGCACUAAAUCUCCUGCAUGGACGUGAAGGCAUGUCUUUAUUAAGUUCAAUCUUUGAAAACUUGGCAUGUGACGCUGUGUAAAAAUAGAAGAUGCUAGAAAAUUGUCUCUGGCCACUUUCGUAUGUAGCCGUGAGCAUUGCUAAUUUCUGUCAACCUGAACGAUAUUUGGACUGUUUAUAUAGCUACCAUGUGCUGAACAAAUUGUCUGAUUAAUGUAAUACUCCUGAAUAGAUUGGUGUGCGUGCCAUGUCAUUUGGUCUGCGUUACACUAACAGAAUCAUUUUGUCA
This is a long non-coding RNA of Triticum aestivum (bread wheat), 3843 nucleotides long. RefSeq lists it as uncharacterized. The record is from RefSeq and is a predicted model, not a curated record. The transcript has 11 exons. Lineage: Eukaryota; Viridiplantae; Streptophyta; Magnoliopsida; Poales; Poaceae.